CUUUGCAAGUCUGUUGUGAAAUCCCCCGGCUCAACCGGGGAAUUGCGUUGGAUACUGCAAGGCUAGAGGGCGGUAGAGGUCGGCGGAAUUCCCGGUGUAGGGGUGAAAUCCGUAGAUAUCGGGAGGAACACCAGUGGCGAAGGCGGCCCCCUGGGCUGUUCCUGACGCUGAAGGCGAAAGCUAGGGGAGCGAACGGGAUUAGACACCCCGGUAGUCCUAGCUGUAAACGAUGGAUACUAGGUGUAGGGGGUUAAAAUUCCCUCUGUGCCAAAGCUAACGCGUUAAGUAUCCCGCCUGGGGACUACGGCCGCAAGGCUAAAACUCAAAGGAAUUGACGGGGACCCGCACAAGCAGCGGAGCGUGUGGUUUAAUUCGAUGCGACGCGAAGAACCUUACCAGGGUUUGACAUGCAGGUAGUAGUGAAGCGAAAGCGGAACGAUCCUUCGGGAAGCCUGCACAGGUGCUGCAUGGCUGUCGUCAGCUCGUGCCGUGAGGUGUUAGGUUAAGUCCUGUAACGAGCGCAACCCCCGCCGUUAGUUACAUGUGUCUAACGGGACUGCCCGGUAAAACUGGGAGGAAGGUGGGGACGAAGUCAAGUCAGCAUGGCCUUUAUAUCCUGGGCGACACACACGCUACAAUGGCCGGUACAAUGGGUUGCCAAGCCGCGAGGCGGAGCCAAUCCUCCAAAGCCGGUCUCAGUUCGGAUUGUAGGCUGCAACCCGCCU
RNAcentral lists this ribosomal RNA (725 nucleotides) under uncultured Chloroflexota bacterium. Its description in RNAcentral is "bacterial SSU rRNA". It matches the Rfam family "Bacterial small subunit ribosomal RNA", at positions 579 to 1317 of the family's 1533-position model. The record is from RNAcentral. Lineage: Bacteria; Bacillati; Chloroflexota.